Molecule: long non-coding RNA, 616 nt
Organism: Ruditapes philippinarum (Manila clam)
Lineage: Eukaryota; Metazoa; Mollusca; Bivalvia; Venerida; Veneridae
Exons: 2
Source: RefSeq, a predicted model, not a curated record
ACUUAGUAACAACAUGAACAAUUGCGUGAUAUUGACCGCUAUCUGUUAGGCAUCACAUCAGCUUUAUUUAGGCAAACGUGAUUGAAUUCAGAAUUUUUUAUGUAUGCAUGACUUGGAACACUUAUGAUGAAUGCAUGACUUUUAAAACAUACGAUAUAUUAUGAUAAAUGAUAGCAUACGUGACUAUGAACAUAAACUAUCAUGCAAAGGUGACAAAAAACUUAUCAAGUUUGAUUUUAUCUAUUCAAUAUGAUUUCGAAAUAUCAUUCAACCUUAAUCUACCACGUGACUUAUCAUCAGUGAUGUUAUAAAAGGCAUAUGAUCGUCAUCCAAGUGUGAGUAGAGUCAGCAUAGGUAUAAUAACUAACAAACAGAUUAACAACCCCAUUAAUGAAGAUAAAAUUGGCUUACUUGAUUGAAUAAACACAGUGAGACCAUACUCUUACGACAUAUGUUUUGUGCGGUGUCCAGUUCCACCAGCAUGGUUUUGGUAUUUCGACUUUUCAUCAUCGUGGUUUCGUAAUUUAGACUUUUCAACAUGGUAAUUUCGUGUUUUCGUUGUCUCGAGUUAUGUGUGUGACACGAUGGCCCUAACAGUACACCGUAGUUUACAAUA